RNAcentral lists this microRNA precursor (103 nucleotides) under Marmota monax (woodchuck). The record is from RNAcentral. Lineage: Eukaryota; Metazoa; Chordata; Mammalia; Rodentia; Sciuridae.
AGUAGGAUAACUGGGUCAUAUGGUGGUUCUAUUCUAAGUCUUUUGAGGAAUAUGGAUACUGCUUUCCAAAGUGGUUGUAAUAAUUUGCAGUCCCACCAGCAAU